UUAAACAUUUUAAAGCAUAAUUUGUCAAAGCAAUGAAGUGUUCACAAAAAAAGAAAUUUUGUCAAAAAUCAACGCAAGUUUGAACAAUUAAAAUAAAUGAAUCCACGUUAUUCAUAAAUGCUGAUCUCAAACCUAUACGACAGAAUACUGAUCAUAGUCAAAUGGGCUUGUAUUUGUAAAUUGUCUUUCAUUUGAACAAAAUAUGAUUUAAGGAUGUUUGCUCCUCUAUUUUUUGAUUUUUUGCCAUAUUUUCGGAAUCCUCUGGUUAUAUCAAUGUAUCAACAUUAAAAAAAAAAUGCCCACUAACCCCUACUUUUCUUUUCAUAUUUUUAUUACAUAUUGUUUAAAAAGCCAUAUUUCAAAAUCUUACGAAAUCCUUGUUAUUUUUCAUAGUUUUUAAAACAAAAAAGGUGCCAAUGUUAAGUGAAAGAAAAAUAUAGAGGGAUUUAUUUCCCGCCAAAUUUUCAAUGGCUUAUAUCUCAAAAACAAGCACACGGACCCUCCAUUUUUUUCUCCUUUUUUAGUUUCUUUCUUGAUAUACUAUCAAUUUAUAACAGUCUUUUAAAAAGCUUGUUAUUUUUAAACAGAGGAGCGAACAUCCUUAAAAAUGUCAAUAAUUGUAACCAUGGUAGAUGUAACCACACAUUCCAUACUAAUGUAUAUUUAUAGAACAUGUUGUGCCAUAGAUAAUGUGUUUUUUAAACCAAUAGGCAACAAAAAAACAUUGAAAAAAAACC
RNAcentral lists this long non-coding RNA (737 nucleotides) under Mytilus galloprovincialis (Mediterranean mussel). Lineage: Eukaryota; Metazoa; Mollusca; Bivalvia; Mytilida; Mytilidae. The record is from RNAcentral.